CAGUACUAAAAGUAUUUACAGAAACGCAACGAGGCGGGACCUCUCUGAACGCCACUAUCACGGAAGGCAGCCGGCAGCUCCACUCAGACAGGAAUGGACGUUUCGGUGAGCCUCGGGCAAAGCGGAUCACCGGCACGCCAUGGUAUCAAUAACCAGUGGGGAUCAGAAAUAUCUGUUUCUGUUUGGCACUCUGAAAGGGCACCUAGGGUGCUCUCAGAAUGUAUCAUCUGAAUUUUGUUCAGGGGAAACUAAGCUGGAAGGCACCCUAAAAUGUGAAGUGGAUGGUAGAUCAUCAGCACUACCAAUUUCUACAGAUCUGAUCCUGUUGUACCUACACUACCUGCAAAUCUACUGAUAGUCACAGUUUACUGCAAAAGAACUUAACUGUCAUUCAUGGAAAAAUAAUUCUUGCUGCUGGAAUGGAGCAUAGCAGACUCCAUGGCCUGCGGUACGUAGGGACACUACUUUUCUGAACUCAAUUAUCUCUUCCUGCCUUAAGUUAUAAGAACUCCAGAGUGGUCUGCAGGAGCAUGGAACACGGAGCAGCUUUAAUUCCUGAUUUUCAUUUAUACAUGUUGUGUUGCUUACUUAGAUUUUAUUAUUUACUUUACUCUGUUCAAAUUAUGUUUUUCCAAGGAAAUUAUAUUAUUUGGAUAUCCACAAUGCCACGUGCACUCUCUUUGGGAACUGAGUAGAGGAAGUGUGUGUACUCUGCAUGCUGGUGCUUGUGUGAAAGAAGAAGAAAAAAAACACCAAUAACAACAAAAAACAAACCAACAGAAUUUCACACACUUCCAGCUUCAUGGAACAUAGGGUGGAUGGUAAUCAGUGUGGUCUAUUUACUGAAAAGUUCAUGUGCCCAAGAGCUACAAGUGCUUCUCGUAUGCAGACAAGCCAGAGAGGAUCUUACAUUUGGAAAGGCUCGCAUGCAGGAUAUGGCAAUGGUUGCCCUGCAAUCUCACUGCUCCUUUGUGAAGAGGACUGGGCUGAGCGUCCAGGCUAUUUUGAAGGUGUUGGCCUCAACAACUUCCACUGGCUCACUUCCUCCCAAAGCCAGGGGUUUGGAUUACGCAGCCAUGCCAGCAGACCAGCCAUGUGAUACAUCUUUGGCAAGGAAACUUUAUUUGAAUUGUGUGCAAGCCGUGUGCAACACAAGGUUAGCCUCUGCUGAAAUAUAAAGCCUAAAAUUAUUUUUGCAGUCCUCUGAGAUGAACUAUAAAUAGUUCUACAGUAUAUACAAUUAUUUCCUAAAUGUGAUUGAGACUAUUCUAUAAAGAUCAUAAAGAACUGUUUUAAAAUGGUAACAGAAAAUCUUGUUUCAUUUGAUAUGAAAUCUCAAUUUCAUUAUAAAUGAAAUAUUAAGGACUUUCUCAUAGAUUCGCCUCAUUUGGAAAGAUGAGCUUCUUACCAAAAUUUAUCAACAUAGCAAGCUCUCACAUAUGUUUGGAAUUUCUUUUUCAGGAAAAAAGAAAACAUGUUGUAUAAUGUUGAAUAUCAGUGGAAUAUAGUACUUAAGUAUUUCAUUAAUGAACCAUUCUUUUCUCCUAAGCACUUUAAUAAAGGCUGUGUCAAAUA
Molecule: long non-coding RNA, 1575 nt
Organism: Oxyura jamaicensis (ruddy duck)
Lineage: Eukaryota; Metazoa; Chordata; Aves; Anseriformes; Anatidae
Exons: 5
Source: RefSeq, a predicted model, not a curated record